CUGCUGGGCCAUCACUGACGCUCAUGGACGAAAGCCAGGGGAGCGAAAGGGAUUAGAUACCCCUGUAGUCCUGGCCGUAAACGAUGAACACUAGGUGUCGGGGGAAUCGACCCCCUCGGUGUCGUAGCCAACGCGUUAAGUGUUCCGCCUGGGGAGUACGCACGCAAGUGUGAAACUCAAAGGAAUUGACGGGGGCCCGCACAAGCGGUGGAGUAUGUGGUUUAAUUCGAUGCAACGCGAAGAACCUUACCAGGAUUUGACAUCCUGCGAAUCUCUUGGAAACGAGAGAGUGCCUUCGGGAGCGCAGUGACAGGUGGUGCAUGGCUGUCGUCAGCUCGUGUCGUGAGAUGUUGGGUUAAGUCCCGCAACGAGCGCAACCCACGUCUUUAGUUGCCAGCAUUUAGUUGGGCACUCUAGAGAGACCGCCGGUGAUAAACCGGAGGAAGGUGUGGAUGACGUCAAGUCAUCAUGCCCCUUACAUCCUGGGCUACACACGUACUACAAUGCUACGGACAAAGAGCAGCAAGUUCGCGAGGACAAGCAAAUCUCAUAAACCGUGGCUCAGUUCAGAUCGUAGGCUGCAACUCGCCUACGUGAAGGAGGAAUCGCUAGUAAUCGCAGGUCAGCAUACUGCGGUGAAUACGUUCCCGGGCCUUGCACACACCGCCCGUCACACCAUGGAAGUUGGCCACGCCCGAAGCCGUUACUCCAACCCUUGUGGAGGAGGACGUCGAAGGUGGGGCUGAUGACUGGGGUGAAGUCGUAACAAGGUAGCCGU
This 778-nucleotide ribosomal RNA is filed under the name uncultured marine microorganism. RNAcentral's name for it is "bacterial SSU rRNA". It matches the Rfam family "Bacterial small subunit ribosomal RNA", at positions 726 to 1503 of the family's 1533-position model. The record is from RNAcentral.